AUACGUAGGGUGCAAGCGUUAAUCGGAAUUACUGGGCGUAAAGCGUGCGCAGGCGGUUUUGUAAGACAGAGGUGAAAUCCCCGGGCUCAACCUGGGAACUGCCUUUGUGACUGCAAGGCUAGAGUACGGCAGAGGGGGAUGGAAUUCCGCGUGUGGCAGUGAAAUGCGUAGAUAUGUGGAGGAACACCGAUGGCGAAGGCAAUCCCCUGGGCCUGUACUGACGCUCAUGCACGAAAGCGUGGGGAGCAAACAGGAUUAGAUACCCUGGUAGUCCACGCCCUAAACGAUGUCAACUGGUUGUUGGGUCUUCAUUGACUCAGUAACGAAGCUAACGCGUGAAGUUGACCGCCUGGGGAGUACGGCCGCAAGGUUGAAACUUAAAUGAAUUGGCGGGG
RNAcentral lists this ribosomal RNA (395 nucleotides) under uncultured bacterium. RNAcentral describes it as "partial 16S ribosomal RNA". It matches the Rfam family "Bacterial small subunit ribosomal RNA", at positions 523 to 918 of the family's 1533-position model. The record is from RNAcentral.